This is a long non-coding RNA of Pygocentrus nattereri (red-bellied piranha), 310 nucleotides long. RefSeq lists it as uncharacterized. The record is from RefSeq and is a predicted model, not a curated record. Lineage: Eukaryota; Metazoa; Chordata; Actinopteri; Characiformes; Serrasalmidae. The transcript is spliced from 3 exons.
UGUGGGAGAACAGCAGCGGGAAUGAUUGCGACCGUGUUAAUGACCAUAACGGGAAGAAAAGCUCGCACUGAAACAUUCCCACAUCCACCUUUUCUGCCCCGCUGUUCGGUUCUCAGACCAGAUGUACUGUUUGUGUGAAGGCGUUUUCAGUGGGGAACCUUCAGGGCCUUCUGGACCUUCAGAGAAGCCCUAAUGAUUUCUGCAAACUAAAAGCAGAUACAGAUGAGCCGAGCCGCUCUCCCAUUGGUUAGGACUUCAGGAGCAGGACCGGAGGCCUUAAAUGUUAGAUUAACUACCAGCAUAUUUAAGA